AGCAUCUUUCAGUGGGGAGGAAAGGUAUGAUGGUUAAUACCUAUUCAUCUGUGUCGUCAACCACAGAAGAAGCACCUGCUAACUCCGUGCAGCAGCCGCGGUAAUAACGGAGGGUGCAAGUCGAUAAUAGUAAUUACUGGGCGUAAAGCGUGCAGCAGGCGGUCUGUAAACGAGAUGUGAAAGCCCCGGGGCUCAACGUGGGAACUGCAUUUGAACUGGCAGACUAGAGUCUUGUAGAGGGGGGUAGAAUUCCAGGUGUAGCGGUGAAAUGCGUAGAGAUCUGGAGGAAUACCGGUGGCGAAGGCGGCCCCCUGGACAAAUACUGACGCUCAGGCACGAAAGCGUGGGGAGCAAACAGGAUUAGAUACCGUGGUAGUCCACGCCGUAAACGAUGUCUACUCGGAGUUUGUUGUCUUGAACACUGGCUUCUGAAGCUAACGCAUUAAGUAGACCGCCUGGGGAGUACGGCCGCAAGGUUAAAACUCAAAUGAAUUGACGGGGGCCCGCACAAGCGGUGGAGCAUGUGGUUUAAUUCGAUGCAACGCGAAGAACCUUACCUACUCUUGACAUCCAGAGAACUUUCCAGAGAUGGAUUGGUGCCUUCGGGAACUAUGAGACAGGUGCUGCAUGGCUGUCGUCAGCUCGUGUUGUGAAAUGUUGGGUUAAGUCCCGCAACGAGCGCAACCCUUAUCCUUACUUGCCAGCGGGUAAUGCCGGGAACUUUAGGGAGACUGCCGGUGAUAAACCGGAGGAAGGUGGGGACGACGUCAAGUCAUCAUGGCCCUUACGAGUAGGGCUACACACGUGCUACAAUGGUCGGUACAGAGGGUUGCGAAGCCGCGAGGUGGAGCUAAUCUCAUAAAGCCGGUCGUAGUCCGGAUUGGAGUCUGCAACUCGACUCCAUGAAGUCGGAAUCGCUAGUAAUCGUGCAUCAGAACGCCCCGGUGAAUUGUUCCCUCUCCUUGUACCC
This 970-nucleotide ribosomal RNA is filed under the name Shewanella litorisediminis. RNAcentral describes it as "bacterial SSU rRNA". It matches the Rfam family "Bacterial small subunit ribosomal RNA", at positions 428 to 1388 of the family's 1533-position model. Lineage: Bacteria; Pseudomonadati; Pseudomonadota; Gammaproteobacteria; Alteromonadales; Shewanellaceae. The record is from RNAcentral.